RNAcentral lists this ribosomal RNA (392 nucleotides) under uncultured Gammaproteobacteria bacterium. RNAcentral describes it as "bacterial SSU rRNA". It matches the Rfam family "Bacterial small subunit ribosomal RNA", at positions 30 to 418 of the family's 1533-position model. Lineage: Bacteria; Pseudomonadati; Pseudomonadota; Gammaproteobacteria. The record is from RNAcentral.
AUUGAACGCUGGCGGCAGGCUUAACACAUGCAAGUCGAGCGGAAACGAUGGUAGCUUGCUACCAGGCGUCGAGCGGCGGACGGGUGAGUAAUGCUUGGGAAUAUGCCUUUUGGUGGGGGACAACAGUUGGAAACGACUGCUAAUACCGCAUAAUGUCUGAGGACCAAAGCGGGGGACCUUCGGGCCUCGUGCCAAAAGAUUAGCCCAAGUGAGAUUAGCUAGUUGGUGGGGUAAAGGCCUACCAAGGCGACGAUCUCUAGCUGGUUUGAGAGGAUGAUCAGCCACACUGGGACUGAGACACGGCCCAGACUCCUACGGGAGGCAGCAGUGGGGAAUAUUGCACAAUGGGGGAAACCCUGAUGCAGCCAUGCCGCGUGUGUGAAGAAGGCCUU